AGCCAUUAGAUAACCAAGUACUAAAGGUAACGCCUGCCCAGUGAAAUUACUUUAAACGGCCGCGAUUUAAACGUGCGAAGGUAGCGCAAUCACUUGUUCCAUAAAUUGGGACCCGUAUGAAUGGCCACAUGAGAAAGAGACUGUCUCUUGAAGAUAGCCAGUGAAACUGAUCUUCCUGUAAAAAAGCAGGAAUGAAAAAGCCGGACAAAAAGACCCUGUGAAACUUAAAACAAAGCAUUAAACCAAAUAAUGCCUGACUUUUAGUUGGGGCAACUUAAGAAACACAAAACAUCUUACAACAUCCAAACCAACAAGUUUAGACACACAAAGGACCCGGUAACACCGAUCAAUGAACCAAGCUACUCCAGGGAUAACAGCGCUAAAUUCUUUAAGAGUCCAUAUCAACAAGAAUUCUUACGACCUCGAUGUUGGAUCAGGAUACCCAAACAGUGCAGAAGCUGUUAACGGUUCGUUUGUUCAACGACUAAAAUCCU
RNAcentral lists this ribosomal RNA (494 nucleotides) under Pseudotrapelus jensvindumi. RNAcentral describes it as "partial 16S ribosomal RNA". It matches the Rfam family "Bacterial large subunit ribosomal RNA", at positions 1824 to 2597 of the family's 2925-position model. The record is from RNAcentral. Lineage: Eukaryota; Metazoa; Chordata; Lepidosauria; Squamata; Agamidae.